GAAUGCUUAGCUCAGCCGGUAGAGCAGCUGACUUUUAAUCAGCAGGUCGUGGGUUCGAACCCCACAGCAUUCACCA
Molecule: transfer RNA, 76 nt
Filed under: Rhizobium sp. MHM7A
Lineage: Bacteria; Pseudomonadati; Pseudomonadota; Alphaproteobacteria; Hyphomicrobiales; Rhizobiaceae
Description: tRNA-Lys
Rfam family: tRNA
About the family: Transfer RNA (tRNA) molecules are approximately 80 nucleotides in length. Their secondary structure includes four short double-helical elements and three loops (D, anti-codon, and T loops).
Source: RNAcentral